UAGGAAAUCUUCCGCAAUGGACGCAAGUCUGACGGAGCAACGCCGCGUGAGUGAAGAAGGAUUUCGGUUCGUAAAACUCUGUUGUUAGAGAAGAACAGCGCAUAGAGUAACUGUUAUGCGUGUGACGGUAUCUAACCAGAAAGCCACGGCUAACUACGUGCCAGCAGCCGCGGUAAUACGUAGGUGGCAAGCGUUGUCCGGAUUUAUUGGGCGUAAAGCGAGCGCAGGCGGUCAAUUAAGUCUGAUGUGAAAGCCCCCGGCUCAACCGGGGAGGGUCAGUGGAAACUGGUUGACUUGAGUGCAGAAGAGGAGAGUGGAAUUCCAUGUGUAGCGGUGAAAUGCGUAGAUAUAUGGAGGAACACCAGUGGCGAAGGCGACUCGCUGGUCUGUAACUGACGCUGAGGCUCGAAAGCGUGGGUAGCAAACAGG
Molecule: ribosomal RNA, 429 nt
Filed under: Bacteroidota bacterium
Lineage: Bacteria; Pseudomonadati; Bacteroidota
Description: Bacteroidetes bacterium partial 16S ribosomal RNA
Rfam family: Bacterial small subunit ribosomal RNA
Source: RNAcentral